This 378-nucleotide ribosomal RNA is filed under the name Pseudomonas sp. R9.25b. Its description in RNAcentral is "bacterial SSU rRNA". It matches the Rfam family "Bacterial small subunit ribosomal RNA", at positions 136 to 509 of the family's 1533-position model. The record is from RNAcentral. Lineage: Bacteria; Pseudomonadati; Pseudomonadota; Gammaproteobacteria; Pseudomonadales; Pseudomonadaceae.
GUGGGGGACAACGUCUCGAAAGGGACGCUAAUACCGCAUACGUCCUACGGGAGAAAGCAGGGGACCUUCGGGCCUUGCGCUAUCAGAUGAGCCUAGGUCGGAUUAGCUAGUUGGUGAGGUAAUGGCUCACCAAGGCGACGAUCCGUAACUGGUCUGAGAGGAUGAUCAGUCACACUGGAACUGAGACACGGUCCAGACUCCUACGGGAGGCAGCAGUGGGGAAUAUUGGACAAUGGGCGAAAGCCUGAUCCAGCCAUGCCGCGUGUGUGAAGAAGGUCUUCGGAUUGUAAAGCACUUUAAGUUGGGAGGAAGGGCAGUAAGCGAAUACCUUGCUGUUUUGACGUUACCGACAGAAUAAGCACCGGCUAACUCUGUGCC